This 262-nucleotide ribosomal RNA is filed under the name uncultured bacterium. Its description in RNAcentral is "partial 16S ribosomal RNA". It matches the Rfam family "Bacterial small subunit ribosomal RNA", at positions 96 to 354 of the family's 1533-position model. The record is from RNAcentral.
UGGCGAACGGGUGAGUAACACGUGGGCAACCUGCCCAAANAGGGGGAUAACACUUGGAACAGGUGCUAAUACCGCAUAACCAUAGUUACCGCAUGGUAACUAUGUAAAAGGUGGCUAUGCUACCGCUUUUGGAUGGGCCCGCGGCGCAUUAGCUAGUUGGUGGGGUAAAGGCUUACCAAGGCAAUGAUGCGUAGCCGAACUGAGAGGUUGAUCGGCCACAUUGGGACUGAGACACGGCCCAAACUCCUACGGGAGGCAGCAG